UACGGAAGGGGCGAGCGUUUUUCGGAAUUAUUGGGCGUAAAGGGCGCGUAGGCGGCCCCGUAUGUCUGCGGUGAAAUCAUGCAGCUCAACUGCAUUGAGCCGUGGAAACUGUGGGGCUUGAGGCUGGGAGGGGCUGGUGGAAUUCCCUGUGUAGCGGUGAAAUGCGUAGAGAUGGGGGAGAACACUCGUGGCGAAGGCGGCCAGCUGGAACAGUUCUGACGCUGAGGCGCGAAAGCGUGGGGAGCAAACAGG
RNAcentral lists this ribosomal RNA (252 nucleotides) under uncultured bacterium. RNAcentral's name for it is "partial 16S ribosomal RNA". It matches the Rfam family "Bacterial small subunit ribosomal RNA", at positions 524 to 776 of the family's 1533-position model. The record is from RNAcentral.